UGAGUAACCUGCCCCAUGCUUUGGGAUAACCCUCGGAAACGGGGGCUAAUACCGAAUAUUCACUUCUGGUCGCAUGGCUGGUUGUGGAAAGUUUUUUCGGCGUGGGAUGGGCUCGCGGCCUAUCAGCUUGUUGGUGGGGUGAUGGCCUACCAAGGCGACGACGGGUAGCCGGCCUGAGAGGGCGACCGGCCACACUGGGACUGAGACACGGCCCAGACUCCGUACGGGAGGCAG
This 234-nucleotide ribosomal RNA is filed under the name uncultured bacterium. RNAcentral's name for it is "partial 16S ribosomal RNA". It matches the Rfam family "Bacterial small subunit ribosomal RNA", at positions 118 to 351 of the family's 1533-position model. The record is from RNAcentral.